RNAcentral lists this ribosomal RNA (253 nucleotides) under uncultured bacterium. RNAcentral describes it as "partial 16S ribosomal RNA". It matches the Rfam family "Bacterial small subunit ribosomal RNA", at positions 524 to 776 of the family's 1533-position model. The record is from RNAcentral.
UACGAAGGGUGCUAGCGUUGUCCGGAAUUAUUGGGCGUAAAGAGCUCGUAGGCGGUUUGUUGCGUCGGCUGUGAAAUCCCGAGGCUCAACCUCGGGUCUGCAGUCGAUACGAGCAAACUAGAGUGUUGCAGGGGAGACUGGAAUUCCUGGUGUAGCGGUGAAAUGCGCAGAUAUCAGGAGGAACACCCGUGGCGAAGGCGGGUCUCUGGGAAGCAACUGACGCUGAGGCGCGAAAGCGUGGGGAGCGAACAGG